UUUUUCUUUCUUUUUCGGUCACACUUCACUGCAACUGCCGUGAGUCAAUUUGGAAGUCUGUUUUCUCUCUUUUUUUCUUUUUCUUCCUCCGCGGUGCUCAGCGUGCGGCUUGUGUGCGUUCUCUGUGUGUACGCGUCUUCUGGGGCUGUGUGAGAGCAGACGUCCCUCUGUCACCCCGUGUGCGGACAGACGCGCUCACGCCAGUAGGAGGGGAUUGUGGGAAAGGGGUGUAGCUCUCAGAGGGUGUGCUCUACUCCUCUCUUUUCCCUUCUUCCCGCCAUCACGGCCCUCUUCUCCUGCAGCCCUCUGGCCCGGCCCGCCGCUCACGUACAGGCUCCAGGUAUUUGUCUUUUUUAUCCCGCGACACCGCUUCCCAUCUCUCGCACAGCCCUGUAAUCUUCCACCUUCAGUUCCUCUCGCCCUCAUCUCUGUCCCUCAUCGCUGUCUUCCUCCCGCUAAAGUGCGUCUGCCGUCGCCAGUUGCCACGCUGCAGUCCGCCCGCCGCCAUUUUGGCCGUAUGGACAUGGGCAGCAGAAACUUUUCUAGAGCUCAGAGGGACUCCUCGACUCCCUGCUGACCAGCUUCUUUCUCUCCUUCUUUUUUUCCUUCUUCUUCCUUCUCUGUCCCUGUCCUCCUCUCGCUCCCCCCCCCCCCUGCCUUCGAGGACAGCCCGGCUCUGACAGGGUGGCAAACAGUCGCUCUGUGGCUUUUUUCGAAACCAAACAGGUGUCUCUUUGUAGGAGGAAGGACGGGCCUCCGCCAGGGGGGGUGGGGGGUGGGGGUUACUUUCUGACCUCAGAGGGUCGAUGGCGCCACCGAGCGAGACGCUCGUCCCCCGUCUCUUAUCACGCAGAGCGGGUUAGGCUCGCUAGAAUAAGGGAAGCGUUGACCCCAUUUGGCUUCACAUGCUGUUUGCACGUUCUGCCACUGUUGGAGCCCAGGUACGUGUCGGUUGUGUGACAGGGACGAGCCCCGUUGGUGCCGGAGGUUUGUCCUGCAGCCAUCGAGAGGUGGGGCGGUUUGCUAAAAGGUGGCAACUGUAAUGUUUGACUCGACACACUGCGUCAGAGGCGGCGGUACGUGAGACUUUGCACUUCAGACGAAACCGAGGCCGGGAGUGAAACCGAGUUAGGUCAAACAGAUGACACUGUAAAAAAAACAAUGUUGGCGUUGCUCUCCGGUUGUUUCUUAUUUUGUCGGUAAAUUCAGAGGACAGUCUCAUGCCAGUGGGCAGAAUGCCGUCAAACAAAACAGUAGAUAAGACAAGAAUGUGUGAAACUACCAACAAGCGAUAUGACUGCGGAUUGGAAAUUCAAUACAGAUUGAAUGACCUAACAUACAUGCAUAUUCCACGUUGUGUCAGGACUCUUGACUGCUUACUGUUUAUACUGUAUCUUGAUCUAAAUAAGGGUUGGUGUUAAGAUGGCGUCUUGGUGCCACGUGUUUAUGAAACAGUGAACAUGGGCAGACUUUCAACGUGCCCCUUGCCGCCACCACAUCUCGCGUACUACUCCUAAUUCCUCUGCAUCACCUUCUGUUUUGCCAGCGAUGGCAUUAGGCAGCAAAAACAGUUUACAAAAAAUAAAACCACAAAACAGGAACCUCUCCUAAUGAAUAUUGACAUGUGACAGAGGAAAAAACGAAAAAGAGAGAAGAAGGGUUAUAGAAACCAAAUGGAGGAGUACGAGAGCUCUUUCCCCGCCCCUCUCUUAUCCUCAGAUGAACUUAUUGUGUUGCCUCAUAAUGUUUCUGAGUUUUUCGCCUAGAGGCAGUCAGGCUAACUUCCUGCAUUCAGCCUCAACGUAGCUGAUUGGUCGAUAUCUCGGCUGACCAGCCGCGGUUUGCAGCGAGGCAACAGGAAGUCUCACUUCUCGUGCAGGAAGCAGCAGCUGUUUCAUCCUGACCUGCACCACUUUGCACUUUUGCACGCGCAGUCUUUGUACACUUGCAGAGAAAUAUGACUGCACACCCUUUGUGUGAGUGUCUAUGGCUUGCUCUAUGAGGCAUUGGUGAAAGCUAUAACAUGUAGGCGUGUAGCAACAUGCCGGGCCAGGCAUCUGAGCCAUCAGAACAUUUGAAACCAUGGUAACCGCAAAUCUUAUCAGAACAUUAGCAAAAGUAUACAUAGGUCGGAAGAAGGAGUGGGGUUAGUGAGAGAAAAUAAAACCAAAACAUAAAUCGACGUUUUCUUCAUUCACAGUUUUUAGGAACACAUCUGGUCCUGAGUAUAAUUUGAGGGUAUACUUAUCAACUCUUAUCCACCUGAAUAAACCUAUAUACAUUUGUAUAAUAUAAAUUAUAUAUAUGCCAACCGCUAUAGAUUGAUCUGUUUGUAGAUAAUCCUGAUUGUUCCAUUUGAUUCAACUUCUGUCUGUGUAUCUAUGGUUGAAACGAUGUUGACACUUAAACUCCUCCCUUAUCUGGGUCAUGCACCCUUUUAUCAAACAAAUGCCAUGACAUUGGACCUAACUUUUAAGCCUGUGAUUCCAACAUUUGUGCGUGCGGCCCAUGUUGCAAAACAGUGGAAAGGACUGGAAACCUUUUUGUUUCAUUCAAAAUGUCGGGAACACUGUCUCCUGGUGACCUGCUGCAUACUUCUGUAUACAUGUACACGUGGGGAGCAUGAGCUUGUUGUUUGCGUUUGGUUAAUGAGGAUGUACAGAAGAUCAGAGCGAUCACCAUGCCAAGUGAGCGUGGAGGAGGCUCAUACCAUCGUCCUUUAACGCAAUAAGGAAUUCCUUCGGUAGAGGGGAAGAUCAAAAGCAGGUAUGAUAAGAUCAUACAUCGCUCUCUAUUGAAGAUCAGGCUUCUUUUUCAUGUCUGCCAGAUGCCUAGACAUUUUUUUCCUCCUCCUCCAGAACAAGACUGCGCACAAGUAAGACGAGACAUUCGUUUGCGUCUUUUUGACUGUGGGAAAUAUCUGUCUUGCCAUUUAUUUUGUGGCAUACUUGGUCUGCCAACUCCAGCUCCCCCGCCGCUCCUCCUCCUCCUCCUCCUUGCCCACCAUCAUCCAACUCCUUCCUCCCUCAUUGAAAUUCAGCCUGGCACACAGACACUGCCCAUUAUUGGCACAAAGCUGAGAGAGAGAGAGAGAGAGAGAACUGGAGAAACACACAAGAACCUGUACCACUCGUCUGGUGCCCCCUCCGACGUGUCUGCCAAGCAUUCAUCCCAUUUCGCGGACCGAGGGACCAGGGAAUCUAAUAGGAGAGUUCCCUUUGUGGAUCAACGUUGAUGCUGUCCUUGGGGCUGAGGUAGUAGAUUGAAUAGUUGUGGGGUUGUGUAACCUCUUUUUGAGAUAACUAUACAAUCUACUGUCUUUCCCAAGGAGACAGCUAAGUCAGCACAUCGCCAACUGCCAUCUCCCGACGUAUCAACCAAGCAAUCCGAUCAAAAACAUAUGCGUGCAGCAAUGGACGUGGAAGACAUGGUGUGGAGUGUUUGAUUUGGGCUCUGUCAGGGUGAGGUAGUAGGUUGUAUAGUUUGGUGGGUGGGAUUGCGCCCUGCUCCGGUGAUAACUAUACAGUCUAUUGCCUUCCCCGAGGAGUUCAUUGAACACGUGGGAAACGCUCAACACACUCUCCUCAGCAGCGACGCAGUUAUUUGUAGAUUUUACAAAGAAAAGAGCAAGUAGCUAUAUUUCCAAAGGUUAGUGAUGAAUUGAUUUGAUGCCAUUGAACAACAACAACAACAACAUGUAAACAUCAAUAAAAUCAGUUGAAUGAA
Molecule: long non-coding RNA, 3726 nt
Organism: Pungitius pungitius (ninespine stickleback)
Lineage: Eukaryota; Metazoa; Chordata; Actinopteri; Perciformes; Gasterosteidae
Exons: 2
Source: RefSeq, a predicted model, not a curated record